Long non-coding RNA from Podarcis raffonei (Aeolian wall lizard), 1503 nucleotides. RefSeq lists it as uncharacterized. The record is from RefSeq and is a predicted model, not a curated record. NCBI's taxonomy places the organism in Eukaryota, Metazoa, Chordata, Lepidosauria, Squamata, Lacertidae. The transcript has 3 exons.
ACACCUGCACUUUGAAGUGGUAUCCAUUAGGAGCAGGUGCAUCAUGUGACCAUGCCGAUCAUGUAUCUUAAUUCUCAGAGUGCACAUAUAUGACCACAACAGAAAUAUAUUAUUCCGUGUGUGGUCUUGUAAUCACUUGGAUAAGUGCAGAACGGUUGGUUGGACACAUAUUAGCGAUAGGACAAAAAAGAAAGAGUUAGUGAGAGGUGUGCAAUCCUUUAACACCUGUUGUUUGGUCAUGCCGGUGGAUGUGAUGUGCUGGAAAUGAAAUGUAUGAAGAAAUGAACAGGAGGAUAACCAUGGAAGAAAAGUCUCGCCCGUGGCCCCAUCAUAUGUAUCACUGAGCACAGGGAUUUUAGGGCUUAAUUUGGAUGUUUCGUAUAUUUAUUGGAUGGUUGAUUGAGAAGAUGGUUUGAUCACUGGUUGCAAGAUACACUGCUUCUGCCACAUGCUGAGGAACCAGAAGCAGUCUUUACAAGCCUAGAAUUCAAGGGGAAGGUUUUUCUGUCAGUAGAUUUGGCUUCUAGGCAAGUAUAAGCCCUGGCACAUCUCUCUCUCUCUCUGCUUAGCACCUGUUCCAUCAUCUUUUGGUUUGGCAUGAUUUGUUCUUGAAAAAGCCCAUGCUGGGUGCUUCUUAACCCCUUCCUUGAAAUGCUUGCCAACUCACUGUUCAAAGAUCUCCCUGGGCAUGGCAACCUCUGAUUAUAGAGUGCCACCACACUCAUCAAGUGGGAAUGAGGUUGGCAGCAGCAUUGGCAACAAAUAUUCUUUUUUUUUUUAAUAGAACGUAUUCAUUUACUGCUUAAUAUAUAAAAAGAAACCCCUAAGUGGUAUAAUCACAGGGCAGAGAUUAGAAAUCAGUGUCAAUUCGUAUGAAGAAUACAAAAAUGAAAUUCAAAUAAGACCUAAAUGCUAGGCGAAAAACAAACAACUAAGAGGGUGGAUAGCUUUUAUGCGUACUCCAUAUAAUUAGGGAAAUUUUGUUUCUUUAUCUAUUACCUACCCUUCAACCUGAGGUGAUUUGGAACAUGAGCUCACUUUCCUGAGUCAGAUAGCACCAUUAACAAGGCAUCUCGAAGUGGGGCAGGGAUGGCUUUAUUCUCUCCCAGCCCCUCUUUUAUUUUCUGAGAAGUGAAAGCAUGCUGAGUUGGGAAACACUCUGACCUUGAGAGGGAGAGGGAGGGGGAUCUUUCUUUUGGACAGACAGGCCUAGCUUUUAAUUAUUUUCUGAGUCCACUCCAAUCAUGGUGAUUUGGAGCAAGGGGGAUUUUGAAUUAUUUAAUUCAAGCAUGAGUUGUUCUUCCUGCAGGUCGUUAGUCUCCAUGUCUUGGCUGUGAAAGCAAGGUUUAAGAGGGUAGAGUUAGACUACAGUGGUACCUCGAGUUACAAACGCCUCAGGUUACAAACGCUUCAGGUUACAAACUCCGCUAACCUGGAAGAGUUACCUCGAGUUGAGAAAUUUGCCCCAGGAUGAGAAUGGAAAUCGUGUGCUGGCGGCGCAGC